UACCCUAUUAAAAGCAUGCUUGUAUAUGUAUAGUUAUAUAAGUAAUGUUUAAAGGACUUAGAAAGGCUAACCCGCUCUAUUUCCUUUUCCUCGUUGGGAUGUGGUCUGGUGGGUGUUGGGUAUCCGUCCGAAGGUCGUUUAGAUAUUUAGUUAUAUAUCAUGUGUACAUAUAUGGACAUAAUAGUUCCUUUCAGUCAGUUCAGUACCUUUAAGUAGCAAAGGUAUACGUUCAUAUAUCUCUAGUUGGAUACUUUUACAUGGAUACCGUUACGUAUAUACUAUAUGAUGAGUUACUAUUACAUAUUAUAUGUAUAGAUACUGUCAUAUAAUUCUCCUGCUUAUCUUUAUUUUGUGAUACAAUCACAUAAUCGACGAGAUAGAUUGGACUUAAUAUCCUAGUACCAAAGGAUACUUUGUGAGACUAACCUUUCCUAGAAUCUCUAUUAGCUACAGAGGUAAAUGCACAUCCACGGAUGUCUACGGUUGAUACGAGUAUAAGUAUACUUUAAGGGACUAAUUAUUCCUACACCCAUUUGUUAGCUACAGAGGUAAAUGUACAUCUACGGAUGUCUUCAGUUAACACUGUUAGUUAUCCUAGUACAAAAGGACAAUACUUAAGCUAUUUAUAUUAUUACCUUUGUCUUGUGACACAUUCACAUAACCGAUGAGAUGAAUUAUAUUUGAGUAUCCUAGUACCUAAGGAUAAAAUUUCUUAUAUUAAUAAUAAUAGUAGUACAGUCGAGUCUUGGUAAAAGGCUACUUUCAAAUCAGUCGGGUCUUGGUAGAAGGCUACUUUCAAAAUAGUCAGGUCUUGGUAGAAGACUACUUUCAAAACAGUCGGGUCUUGGUAGAAGACUACUUUCAAAACAAAUGGGUCUUGGUAGAAGACUACUCUCAAAAUAGUUAGGUCUUGGUAGAAGACUUCCUUUUAUACUAAAAGGAAUCAUAGGGAUUUCUAGGAUUUUUCAAACGUUUACAGUUGUUUUACAAACAUUUUUAUACUUAUACGAACUUUCUUUCAAAACCAUUUCGAGUCUUUCAUUACAAGUUUUGCAAAUCAAAGACACAUUAAUACUUAUGAAUUCACCAGCUUUUUGGCUGAUACUCGCUUUCAAAAUAACAUGUAUUCUAAGGUCACAAAUAGACAGGUAUGACGACCAGGUUUUGUGAAGAUGGAGCAGUUCAGACUCGUCUUUUAUUUUGAUUAUUCAUUAUGUUGUCUUAUACUAUGAAAGAACACACUUGUAAUUACAAUUAUACUAUUAAUGAAAUGGAUGAUGUUGUUGCUUGUUUACUACUUUACAUUGUUGUAAUACAUUACAUGACGUUCUCCGCCCGAGAACGCUUCCGCCGUUCUUGGUUUUGGGGUGUGACAGAUUGGUAUCAGAGCACUGUUUAUAGUGAAUUAAGUAUAUCAACCCAUAAAAGAUAUACUAACUUUAAAUACAAUGGGAUUAAAAAUACUCUAACCAUGAGUUUAUACUUUAAAUAAUAAAAUAUUUGAUUGAGUGUACGUGCCUGCAUUCAUACUAAAAUCCGUGUCAUAAUGACAAGAACAAAAGUAUUACGGUUGUUGAAUAUCACAAGUAAGCUUGGGGAUGUAUGGUUAGUCUUGGGAGUGGCAUAGCCUGAUCAACUAUGCUGGUCCGAAGAGUGAUUAGCAUAUGCCCAAGAAUGGUUGUGAUGUGGCAACAAGUCUAAAAACUUACCAACACUACCACAAUGAAAUACCGUAGGGGUAUUUGAUGUUACUAUAAGUACUUUAUACUUGAGAACUAAAGAAAAAGAGGAUCUUCGUUACUAGGUCAAUAGUUGCUAAGUGGAUACAUUAAGGUUAUAUGUAACCAGGAUGAUAUAGACUCCGAAUCUGUGAAAUUUUGCUUUACUCCUAUUCCUUGUGAAUUUGGAGUUAAGGUCACUUAUUCGAAGGCCUAUCCUGUUUAAUUACAUAUAAUCGGUAUGCACUUUACAAAUAGUGAUGUAACUAAUAAAGAUCUUCUUAUAAUUAUCUAGUUAGUUCGUCUAGAUAACUACUUCUUGACCCCAAUUCUCGCCUAGAUAACCUGGCUGGACUCCAUCCCCACGACAACCAGUACCUUCCGAAUGAUGGAUGGGGUAGAGAAGAACCCGAGAAUGAUCAUCCAAUCCCUUUGAAUGAUCACCAUGCUGAAGACCUUUCGGAUGAUGAUAACUCCGAACCCGAAGUUGAGAACCUACCCCCGGUAGCUCCCAUUCCAAAUCCUAACCUUCGUUCGACUUUUUCAUGGCCCGACGCCCCCUUGAGUAUAAGGUUUGGACACAUGGAGCGAAAAGCAAGAUCAACCUAGGCCGUUUAAUAGAGACCUAAGCUUCUACAACCAUAAGCGAAGGGAGCUCAGCAGACAGAAUUCUACCAAUCCUAGUCCGUAGAGUUGCCCAAAAUGAGAUUCAGGGCAGGACAGCUCUCCAUCACAUCGCAGAGGUUGAUGCCAACGCAGGUGUGACAACCCCAAAUCUAAUUCCGUUAAAAAUCCCAUUUUCACUAACGGAAAGCGUCACUAUACGUUAUUUUACGUAAUAUUUGGAAUCGUCAAUAUCCGAAUAUCUAAAUUUAAGCAUGGUUUGAUAUUAUUAUAAGUAAUAUGUCUCAUAGGUGUUAACCCCGUUUAACCUAAUAGAGUGGUUUUACCUUCUCAACCACUUCACCGGGUAAAAAGUUUUAACCCAGUUAACUUUAAACAUCGGGUAGCCGUGUAUCGGGCACGAUUCUCGAGACAUAUGCAAUGGUGUUCCCAACAUUUGAACACUCAUUCACUACACACCCACUCUCUCUCUCUCUACUUUCUCUCUCUAGACUCAAAAACGACCCCGAUUCCGCUAAUUUCCGACUUCCAAACGUAAGUACUCAUCCCCUAUCUUAUUCUAGACAUGCUUCAUUGAAUUUGUGGGCCAAAAACCAUAGGAAUCAAGAUUUAAAGAGGAGUUUACGGCCUAAGAAGCUCCUUAGGCCGUAAACCCCCAAAUCCAAGCCAAAGACCAAGUUUUUCCUUCUUGUAUGCUAGUAUACUAAUUAAGGCUUAUAACUAGAAGAGUUUGGACCUUAAAACACAAGAGAAUGAUGCUUAAAAAGGAGUUUACGGCCCAAGCAUGUGCUUAGGCCGUAAACACCUCAGACACCCCACAAAUCCAUGUUUUAAGCCCCAAAAACACUUCUAGGAUGUUUGGAAAAUUAGACUUGACAACAAGGAAGGCUUGAAAGCAUUAAACAACAUCAUUUGAACACAAAAAGAGGAGUUUACGGCCAAGGCUAAGCUUGGGCCGUAAACACCCAAGAAAUUGUGUCAAACAAGUCCCUAAACUACCCUAAUGCAUGAAAGGAAUUAAUCUAAGGCCUAUGGAAGUGUGUUGUACCAUUAAACACUUCAUUUUGACACCAAAUGAAGAGUUUACGGCCAAGGAUGUUCUUGGGCCGUAAACUCCCCAUAAAUAUGUGCCAAAUUGCUCCAAACUCACUAUAGGACCUUCUAGGAUUUUUCUAAGCCAUUUGGGACCAUGUUGUACAAGUAAAACCAUCACCUUAAAGGACUUAUAGGAGUUUACGGCCCAAGAACAAGUCUUGGCCGUAAACUCCCCUAAAAUAUCACAAAUUUAGAUGUUUAAUCCUUCCCUCUUGGUCCAAAACACACACUUUGGAGUGUCACAAGAGUUUACGGCCAAGCCUAGGGGGGCUUACGGCCGUAAACUCCCAAUGAAUGGCUUUUAGGCCAUAAACUCUAAGAGAAUAAACUCUAGGACCCUCCCGUAAAUCAUCCAUGGACUUAUACCACUCCCGGGAACCCUUUCUAGGCCUUAAAACCCCGAAAACGACACUAGAAUGUCCAAAUACUAUAAUGAGAAGCAUAAGAUGAUUAACUUCUUGUAAAAUACAUAUUUCAUAUGCCAUUAGGGUCCUAAAAGGUGCUCAAGUGGUUAUUUGGUACCAAACGCUCAAUCGACACUAUUACCCGAUUUACCCGAUUCACCCGAUUUCCGCGAUUUCAGGUGAGUUCAUACCCCUUUAAUGAACCUUUCAAGUGUUUUACAUGUUUUAGGGGGGAGAUACAAGUUGCUUAUAAAUGUUUAUGCAAAGUUUUACAGAACGAUUUCCGAGUUACAAGGAUUAAUCGCAUGUGAUUCACUACUCUUAGUUCAAAUCACAUGUGAUUUGCCCCUAUGCCUUAAAAACGGGUUUUACCCUUUUCAAACUAUUUUUAAACAGUGAAUCAGAAUUCAAAUGUUCUUUUGGAAAAAUACUUUUAUUAAAUCAAUUUGCUUAUAAAAUGUAACCACUCUGAUAUAUUUAUAUAAAUAAGAUUUGGAGGACUUAGGACCGAUAUCUCGCCUUAUUUCCUGUUCUUGUUUGAUUGUGGGCUUAGGGUAGUAGUUAUCCGUCCGACUGUCGUUGAUUUCUUACUUAUAUAAAAUCUGUAUAUCAGUAUGGGAUACGAAUAUUUCUGCUUCCACUUAAUGCUAAAGUCACUAACGUGCUAAGAAACAUCCCCACUAAGAUAACCAUAAUAGGUAUGGUUAGGGUCGCUACCGCUACUACUCGCUAAAGUUAUUACUAUCUACACUAUAAUACUCACUAUUACUAGACGAUACACUAGUAAGAGAAUACACUAUGAUCAAUACUAAAAGAUUACUACACUAUGACCAUAGAGAAAACAUUAAACAAACAAUAAUACACUAACCCGCUACGAGAUACUCUAUUCGCUAUUCACUACGCCCAGAGUGUUCCAGCAGGAGACGACUCUACAUGUAUAGAUCUAUACGGGGCAAACGCUAUUACAUCCCGACUGUUAACUCAGUCCGCGCCGUACAGGCCCAGGGAUGCCACUACUUCACUACACUGUGCAUGACCGGGAAGGUCAUGGGAUUCUCUAUUAUUCUCACUAUUGGUAAAUUACAAGGAAUACCCUACAACUACACUAAAACACUACACUAAAUGUUAAACCACAUCCCGAAGUAAGCAAGUAUCUAUCACUAAAGGAAGCUCGUACCUCUAUCAUGGAUCACGGGCUUAACUUAUCUUGACAUAUUUGUUAUUUGAAGAUUGGCCAAAGAAUCUUUGCAAUAAAUUGUUUUCAAAGAGAUAAAGAAUGUACACUUUUCACAGAUUGUCACUUACAAUGUAUUUCCUGGAAAAUAUGAGAUUUUCUGAAUUUCUACUACUUAUGAACAUAAAGGAUACAUUUUUAAUACUAAUGCUUUGUAUACAAAAACUCACACUAAACUCUUAUGAACUCACCAGCUUUAUGCUGAUAAUUGUUUUCAAAAUAACUUGUAUCUUCAGGUCAAAGAUAGACAGGUACAGACGCAGCAUUUUUGGAGAAGGUGGAGCACACAAGACCCAUCUCUUAUUUUCGAAUUACUUUUGAGUGAUUGUUAAACAUUACAAAACACGCAUGUAAUUAAAUUCACUAUGUAAUACUAUGGUUGUUUGAUUCUUGUUUCUACUAUUAUACAAUUGUGAUGAUACUGUUCACUACGUCAUCCACCCCGAAACGUAUUCCGCCGUUAUCGGUUUUGGGGUGUGACAGAUUGGUAUCAGAGCAUUGUUUAUAGUGAAUCAAGUAUAUCAACCUAUAAAAGAUAUACGAACUAUAAACACUUCGGGACUAAAACACUCUGACCAAAAAUAUAUACUGUUAAGUAUCUAAAAGAUCUAACUAAGUAUAUAUAUACACACAUCACUAUGAAACACAGGAAUCAGUAUCAUCCUAGAACAAAACAAAAGUAUUAAGAUUGUUGGGCAGCACAAUUGGGUUUAGAGACAUAUAGUCACAUUCAGGAUGAUGUAGCCUGAUCAACUACGUUUUCCUGAGGGUGACUAGCAUGUGCCUAAGUUCGGUUGUGAUGUUGCAACAAGUCUAAAACUUACCAACAAUACCACAAUAACGCUAACAUAAGAAUACUAUAGGAGUAUUCUGUAUCUCUAGAUUAUACGUAUGUGUUAACAACAAGGGUCGUUACUAGUAGGACAAUAGUUGCUAAGUGGAUACACCACGAUUACAUGUGAUUGGGGCGCUAUAGACUCAGAAUCUGCAGCCUUUGCUUCAUUCCCUGUUCUUGUUUGAUUGGGGGUCUGAAGUUAGGGUGGUUUAUUCGAAGGACUAUCUUGCUUCGGUUACAUGUAAUCGGUAUGCACUAUGCAAGUAUUGGGUCAACUGGUAAUGAUUCCUCCUAUAAGUAUCUUAGAAUAGUACGUCUAUUAAUCUUCUUUCCCCCUUCUCGCGUAGAUAGCAUGGCUGGCUUCCACCUACCCGGUGAUCCGUACUUUCCGAACCAGGGCAAUGGAGGAUGGCUCGAAGAGGAGUCAGACGACGAUCACCCUAUUCCUUUGGAUGAUCAUCAUGCCGAAGGUUUCUCGGAUAGCUCGAGCUCCGAGCCAGAAGUCAACAACCAACCUCCUGAAGCCCCGAACCCUAACCCCCGACCGGCAUUUCAGGGCCCCACUCCUAUGUGGGCAAUAUCCUUGCGUCGAUGGAGCGAGGAGCAGGGUCAGCCCUUGCCUUACAAUGGAGACCGAAGUUUCUACAACAUAAGCGAAGGAGGAUCAGCAGAUCGGGUUCUGCCCAUCAUGAUCCGAAGGAUUGCCAGGAAUGUUGAACAAGGUCAAGCAGCUAUUGGCCGAGUUGUAGAAGUGGAUGCCAACUCAAACCUCAACACUGUUCGCAUCCGCCAACUCGAAGAAGCCAUGGACAGGACAAGGAGGACCAACGAGGCUCUGCAGCAUCAGCUGGCAGCAUCCCGAGCUGAAGUUAGGGAACUCCGAGCACGCCAAAGGACUCAUGAUCGACACCUUCAAGAAGUUAUGCGUCAACUAGAGGAUCUGAGGAUUCGCCCGACAAGCAGCCGUCGCCAGUAGAAGACAUCUAGUUACCUCACUCUUUUGUUUAAAGGACUAGCCUUUUAUCUCUAUGUUCCGUAGGUCUUUUGUCUGUAAACAUUCCUAGUUUAAAAGUACUCUAGCUGAACCUCUAAACUGCCAACAUUUUCUCUAUGGUAUGAUGUAAGACCUACUGCUAGGUCAAUUUUCAUGAACUUGUGUUGCAUCAUUAAUACCAGUAUAUUGGCAGAUGAUUUCUCUAUUGCUAUAACUCUUACCCUGAUCUUGGAUUAUGUUGAUUUAAUCCAUGAGACACACUAUUCAUAUUCGCAAUAGGCUCUUACUAUUGCUAUCAUUUCUAUGAUCUUCCAGUGAAGGAUGCCUCCACGAAAGCGUCCCAGCAGAGGAAGACCUGAAACUCAAACCCCUCCUCCACCACCUCCUCCUCCGCAGUUCGAUCCGGUGUUGUUCCAAGCGGCUGUGACUGCGGCUGUAACAGCAGCCAUGGCCCAAAUGAACUCGGGUGAUGCGAGCGGUGGAAAUUCUAGAUUUGGUGAAGUCCACCAACGAGUGCAGGGAUGCACUUAUAAGGACUUCAUGAAUUGUAAACCUGCUUUCUUUGAUGGGACCGGAGGAAUUCUGGCAUUGUCCCAAUGGUUCGAAAGAACCGAAGCUGUAUUCGAAAUGUGCUCUUGUCCCGAAGAGAGCAAAAUCAAGUUCGCUACUGCUACCCUCACUAACAGGGCUUUGUCAUGGUGGAACGGCCAUGUCAACGCACUCUCCUUGGUCACAGCCAAUGCCAUGGGCUGGGACACUCUAAAAGAUCUUAUGAGAGGAGAGUACUGCCCUAGGGGCGAAGUUCAGAAGCUUGAGGAAGAACUCUGGAACCUCAAGAUGAAGGGGACCGACAUAACGGCUUAUACGGCCAGGUUUUGCGACUUGGCGGCUAUGUGUCCCAACAUGAUCCCCUCUGAAAGCAAGAAGAUUGAACGUUACAUCUGGGGUUUAGUGCCCCCGUAUCGAGGAAAUGUUCUGGCUUCACGCCCUACCACUUUCGACAGCGCCAAGGAAUUGGCCCAGAGUCUGAUCAACCACGAAAUCUCCUCCACUCCAGCAACAACAACCACUGCACCAUCCGGAUCAUCUGAUAGAAAAAGGAAACGAUGGGAUAAGAAGAAAGGCAAGAAAACUCAAACCGCCUCCAAGGACCAACAAAUUGUGGCAGUCCAUGCUGCUACCACCCCAACCACACCAGCUGCUCCAGCCCCACCAAAAGCUUACAGUGGAAACUUGCCUAAGUGUCCCAAGUGCCCUUUCCACCACAACGGCCCUUGCCGUGAAUUGCAGUGUUCCAACUGCGGCCGGAAGGGCCAUACUGUCCGAUUUUGCAAGGCCCCUCCCAAACCUAUUACACAGGUUCCUGGUACGGGAGUGACCCCAACUUGUUAUGGCUGCGGUGAAGCGGGCCAUUUUAAGAAGAACUGUCCGAAGGCUGCAAAUGCUGGGGGAACUGGAAGGUUACUUGCUAUCGGUCACAAUGAAGCAGUAGCUGAUCCCACGGUGGUCACGGGUACGUUUCUUCUCAACAACUCUUAUGCCUGUGUCUUAUUCGAUAGUGGUGCAGAAAGAAGCUUCAUAAAUCAAAACUUUAAACACUUACUCAAACAAACCCCUCAACCACUAAAAGAAACAUUCGUCGUAGAAAUGGCUAAUGGGAAGACAGAAAGCUCUAAUGAAAUCUAUAUAGGUUGUACUCUCACGUUAGAUGAUCACCCCUUUUUAAUCGAUCUUAUACCAGUCUCAAUCAAAAAUUUCGAUGUCAUUGUUGGUAUGGAUUGGCUAAGCCUUCACUACGCCGACAUCCUAUGUUCCGAGAAAGCCAUUCGCCUGAACUUUCCGAAUCGAGAGACCCUAGUGAUAUACGGAGAUAAGCCAAGUACAAACCUUCGUAUCAUCUCUAGUAUUCAGGCUCAGAAAUACUUGCGCAAGGAAUAUCGCGCCUUUCUUGCUCACGUCGUCGACACUAACCAGAAAUCGAAAGAUCCAAAAGACAUUCCUGUAGUAUGCGAUUUUCCUGAUGUCUUUCCGGAGGAUCUCCCAGGCCUACCUCCUAAACGACAGGUUGAAUUCAGAAUCGACCUAAUCCCAGGAGCUACCCCCGUAGCUAAGUCGCCCUACCGCCUAGCGCCCGCCGAAAUGCAAGAACUAUCCGGUCAACUCAACGAACUGCUUAGCAAGGGCUUCAUAAGACCGAGCUUCUCACCUUGGGGAGCUCCGGUCUUGUUCGUGAAGAAAAAGGAUGGGUCGUUUCGGAUGUGCAUCGAUUAUAGGGAACUCAAUAAACUCACGAUCAAAAAUCGCUAUCCUCUCCCUCGUAUCGACGACCUAUUCGACCAACUCCAAGGAGCCAGUUACUUCUCCAAGAUUGAUCUUAGAUCGGGGUAUCAUCAGUUACGGGUGCUUGAGGAAGAUGUUCCAAAGACAGCUUUCCGAACCCGCUACGGGCAUUUCGAGUUCGUAGUGAUGCCCUUUGGACUGACUAACGCCCCCGCAGUAUUCAUGGACUUGAUGAAUAGGGUGUGUCGUCCAUAUCUAGAUCAGUUCGUCAUCGUCUUUAUUGACGACAUUCUUGUCUACUCUCGGAGCGAGGAAGAGCACAGAAGCCAUUUACGAUUAGUCCUGGAAACCCUGCGAUCCGAGAAGUUGUAUGCGAAGUUCUCUAAGUGCGAGUUUUGGAUCCGGAGAGUUGAAUUCUUAGGGCACGUGGUCAGUGAAGACGGAAUCCACGUGGACCCCUCCAAAAUCAAAGCUAUUGAGAACUGGUCAGCACCAAAGACGCCUACGGAAAUUCGUCAAUUUCUAGGCCUCGCUGGCUACUACCGUCGGUUCAUCCAAAAUUUCUCUCGGAUUGCGAAACCUCUCACCAUGCUAACACAGAAGGGUGUAUCAUUCGACUGGGAAGAGAAACAGGAGAAGGCAUUUCAGACCCUGAAGCGAGCCCUAUGCACCGCACCAGUAUUAUCCCUUCCCGAAGGGACAGAAGAUUUUGUUGUAUACUGUGAUGCAUCCAAUCAGGGGCUCGGUUGUGUCUUGAUGCAACGAGGCAAGGUUAUCGCCUAUGCCUCGAGACAGCUAAAGAACCAUGAAGUGAACUACACUACUCACGACCUCGAGUUAGGAGCGGUCGUCUUCGCACUAAAAAUCUGGAGACACUACUUGUAUGGGACGAAGAGCGUGGUGUACACUGAUCAUAAAAGCCUCCAACAUAUACUGAACCAAAAAGAACUCAACAUGAGACAGCGUCGAUGGGUCGAAUUACUUAACGAUUACGACUGUGAAAUUAGAUAUCAUCCGGGGAAAGCCAACGUAGUAGCAGACGCCCUGAGCAGAAAAGAAUAUUCCGGACGAAGGACCAAGUCGUUGACAAUGACUAUACAUUCACAUCUAUCCACGCAGAUCAAAGAGGCUCAGCUGGAAGCUUUAAAGCCUGGAAACGUGACGGGAGAAUCCCUGCGCGGAAUGGAUAAAAAUCUGGAGGUUAAGGGUGACGGAGCCUAUUACUUUAUGGACCGAAUCUGGACUCCACGCCAUGGAGGUUUCAGAGAUUUGGUUAUGAGGGAAGCACACAACACUCGUUACUCCGUCCACCCGGGUUCAGAUAAGAUGUAUCUGGAUCUCAAAAAGCUAUACUGGUGGCCGAACAUGAAAGCGGAGAUCGCUACCUUUGUAAGUAAGUGCCUUACUUGCGCGAAGGUCAAAGUAGAAUGUCAAAAGCCAUCAGGACUCCUCCAACAACCAGAAAUACCAGAAUGGAAGUGGGAGCGAAUCACAAUGGACUUCAUCACCAAGCUGCCCAAGACAGCAGGUGGAUUAGAUACCAUUUGGGUCAUCGUUGACAGGUUGACCAAGUCCGCCCACUUCCUACCCAUCAAAGAGACGGAUAAGAUGGAAAAGCUCACUAGGACUUAUAUAAAAGAAAUAGUGCGAUUGCAUGGCGUCCCUAUAUCUAUUAUAUCAGACAGAGAUAGUAGAUUCACCUCUAGAUUUUGGCAAUCAUUACAAAAGGCACUAGGGACGAGGCUGGAUAUGAGUACAGCCUACCAUCCGCAGACUGACGGACAAAGUGAGAGGACGAUCCAAACAUUAGAAGACAUGCUGCGAGCUUGUGUGAUCGACUUCGGGAAAUCGUGGGAUACACACUUACCUCUUGUGGAGUUUUCCUACAACAAUAGUUAUCACACGAGCAUCAAGGCAGCUCCAUUCGAAGCUCUCUACGGCCGAAAGUGCAGAUCCCCUUUGUGCUGGGCCGAGGUGGGAGACACUCAGUUAGCUAAAGGACGAGUUCCUGAUAGCGCCCUCACUGGUCCAGAGAUCAUUCGAGAGACGACCGAGAAGAUUGUACAGAUACGUGAACGACUAAAAGCCGCUAGGGAUCGACAGAAGAGCUACGCCGACAAACGAAGGAAACCCUUGGAAUUCCAGGUCGGAGACCGGGUCCUUCUGAAGGUCUCGCCCUGGAAAGGCACGAUACGCUUCGGGAAGCGUGGAAAGUUAAACCCAAGGUACAUAGGGCCUUUUGAGAUUCUUGCCAGAAUCGGCCCUGUAGCUUACAAACUAAACUUACCCCGCGAGCUAAGUAACAUACAUCCUACCUUCCACGUCUCAAACUUGAAGAAAUGUCUGUCUGACGAGACUCUCGUGAUUCCCCUCGACGAGAUCGAGAUCAAUGAGAGCCUCAACUUCGUGGAAGAACCUGCUGAGGUUUUGGAUCGUGAAGUAAAACGGACGAAACAAAGCCGCAUCCCAAUUGUGAAGGUUCGGUGGAACGCCAAGCGAGGACCGGAAUUCACUUGGGAGCGCGAGGAUCAAAUGAAACUCAAAUACCCUCAUCUCUUCGCUUAGUAGUAUUGUAAUAUCGUAUCUGUUUGUAUUCUAAAUUUCGGGACGAAAUUCCCCUAACGGGGGGAUGAUGUGACAACCCCAAAUCUAAUUCCGUUAAAAAUCCCAUUUUCACUAACGGAACGUGUCACUAUACGUUAUUUUAUGUAAUAUUUGGAAUCGUCAAUAUCCGAAUAUCUAAAUUUAUGCAUGGCUUAAUAUUAUCAUAAGAAAUAUAACUCGUAUGUGUUAACCCCGUUUAACCUAAUAGAGUUGUAUUACCUUUUCAACCACUUCACCCGGGUAAAAAGUUUUAACCCAGUUAACUUUAAACAUCGGGUAGCCGUGUAUCGGGUGCGAUUCCCGAGACAUAUGCAAUGGGUGUGCACAACAUUUGAACACUCAUUUACUACACACCCACUCUCUCUCUCUACUUUCUCUCUCUAGACUCGAAAUCGACCCCGAUUCCGCUAAUUUCCGACUUCCAAACGUAAGUACUCAUCCUCUAUCUUAUUCUAGUCAUGCUUCAUUGAAUUUGAGGGCCAAAAAUCAUAGGAAUCAAGGUUCAAAGAGGAGUUUACGGCCUAAGAAGCUCCUUAGGCCGUAAACCCCCAAAACCAAGCCAAAGACCAAGUUUUUCCUUCUUGUAUGUUAGUAUACUAAUUAAGGCUUAUAACUAGAAGAGUUUGGACAUUAAAACACAAGAAAAUGAUGCUUAAAAAGGAGUUUACGGCCCAAGCAUGUGCUUAGGCCGUAAACACCUCAAACACCCCACAAAUCCAUGUUUUAAGCCCCAAAAACACUUCUAGGAUGUUUGGUAAAUUAGACUUGACUCCAAGGAACACUUAAAUGCAUCAAACAACUCCAUUUGAGGCCAAAAAGAGGAGUUUACGGCCUAGCUUAAGCUUGGGCCGUAAACACCCAAGAAAUUGUGUCAAACAAGUCCUUAAACUACCCUAAUGCAUGAAAGGAAUUUAUCUAAGGCCUAUGGAAGUGUGUUGUACCAUUAAACACUUCAUUUUGACACCAAAUGAAGAGUUUACGGCCAAGGAUGUUCUUGGGCCGUAAACUCCCCAUAAAUAUGUGCCAAAUUGCUCCAAACUCACUAUAGGACCUUCUAGGAUUUUUCUAAGCCAUUUGGGACCAUGUUGUACAAGUAAAACCAUCACCUUAAAGGACUUAUAGGAGUUUACGGCCCAAGAACAAGUCUUGGCCGUAAACUCCCCUAAAAUAUCACAAAUUUAGAUGUUUAAUCCUUCCCUCUUGGUCCAAAACACACACCACUAAAUCAAGGAAGUGAGAUAAGGCCUUAAACACACAUUUUGGAGUGUCACAAGAGUUUACGGCCAAGCCUAGGGGGCUUACGGCCGUAAACUCCCAAUGAAUGGCUUUUAGGCCAUAAACUCUAAGAGAAUAAACUCUAGGACCCUCCCGUAAAUCAUCCAUGGCCUUGUACCACUCCCGGGAACCCUUUCUAGGCCUUAAAACCCCGAAAACGACACUAGAAUGUCCAAAUACUAUAAUGAAAAGCAUAAGAUGAUUAACUUCUUGUAAAAUACAUAUUUCAUAUGACAUUAGGGUCCUAAAAGGUGCUCAAGUGGUUAUUUGGUACCAAACGCUCAAUCGACACUAUUACCCGAUUUACCCGAUUCACCCGAUUUCCGCGAUUUCAGGUGAGUUCAUACCCCUUUAAUGAACCUUUCAAGUGUUUUACAUGUUUUAGGGGGGAGAUACAAGUUGCUUAUAAAUGUUUAUGCAAAGUUUUACAGAACGAUUUCCGAGUUACAAGGGUUAAUCGCAUGUGAUUCACUACUCUUAGUUCAAAUCACAUGUGAUUUGCCCCUAUGCCUUAAAAACGGGUUUUACCCUUUUCAAACUAUUUUUAAACAGUGAAUCAGAAUUCAAAUGUUCUUUUGGAAAAAUACUUUUAUUAAAUCAAUUUGCUUAUAAAAUGUAACCACUCUGAUAUAUUUAUAUAAAUAAGAUUUGGAGGACUUAGGACCGAUAUCUCGCCUUAUUUCCUGUUCUUGUUUGAUUGUGGGCUUAGGGUAGUAGUUAUCCGUCCGACUGUCGUUGAUUUCUUACUUAUAUAAAAUCUGUAUAUCAGCAUGGGAUACGAAUAUUUCUGCUCCCACUAAAUGCUAAAGUCACUAACGUGCUAAGAAACACCCCCACUAAGAUAACCAUAAUAGGUAUGGUUAGGGUCGCUACCGCUACUACUCGCUAAAGUUAUUACUAUCUACACUAUAAUACUCACUAAUACUAGACGAUACACUAGUAAGAGAAUACACUAUGAUCAAUACUAAAAGAUUACUACACUAUGACCAUAGAGAAAACAUUAAACAAACAAUAAUACACUAACCCGCUACGAGAUACUCUAUUCGCUAUUCACUACGCCCAGAGUGUUCCAGCAGGAGACGACUCUACAUGUAUAGAUCUAUACGGGGGCAGACGCUAUUACAUCCCGACUGUUAACUCAGUCCGCGCCGUACAGGCCCAGGGAUGCCACUACUUCACUACACUGUGCAUGACCGGGAAGGUCAUGGGAUUCUCUAUUAUUCUCACUAUUGGUAAAUUACAAGGAAUACCCUACAACUACACUAAAACACUACACUAAAUGUUAAACCACAUCCCGAAGUAAGCAAGUAUCUAUCACUAAAGGAAGCUCGUACCUCUAUCAUGGAUCACGGGCUUAACUUAUCUUGACAUAUUUGUUAUUUGAAGAUUGGCCAAAGAAUCUUUGCAAUAAAUUGUUUUCAAAGAGAUAAAGAAUGUACACUUUUCACAGAUUGUCACUUACAAUGUAUUUCCUGGAAAAUAUGAGAUUUUUCUGAAUUUCUACUACUUAUGAACAUAAAGGAUACAUUUUUAAUACUAAUGCUUUGUAUACAAAAACUCACACUAAACUCUUAUGAACUCACCAGCUUUAUGCUGAUAAUUGUUUUCAAAAUAACUUGUAUCUUCAGGUCAAAGAUAGACAGGUACAGACGCAGCAUUUUUGGAGAAGGUGGAGCACACAAGACCCAUCUCUUAUUUUCGAAUUACUUUUGAGUGAUUGUUAAACAUUACAAAACACGCAUGUAAUUAAAUUCACUAUGUAAUACUAUGGUUGUUUGAUUCUUGUUUCUACUAUUAUACAAUUGUGAUGAUACUGUUCACUACGUCAUCCACCCCGAAACGUAUUCCGCCGUUAUCGGUUUUGGGGUGUGACAGCAGGAAAGCAUACCAUUCAUACCAAUUGCCUUGAACACAUUCAUGAGAGAUCUGAGAGAAACCAUGAAACCCUGCUGCAAGCCUUAAGCUCGAGCCGAAGUCAUAGAGCUCCGAGUACGUCAGAGGGUGUGCGAAAGAUACCUACUUGAUAUGGAUCGUCAACUAGCUGAAAUAAGGGUUCACCAUAGGGGUGACUGUCGCCAUUAGGAGAUACUUUACUUUCCUUCUUUGUUAUAAAGAACUGUGUUCCUGUCUAUGUUCUAUGUAGCACUUUCCUAUGUGACUACCUUGUACUGUAAGUACUUUUAGAUAGACCUUUAUGCUGUCAAGGACUUUUUCUACUCCAGAUGUGAUGUAAGACCUACUGUAGGGUCAAUUUUCCCGAACUUGUUACAUCUUAAACAUCAAUGAUAUUGGCAGUCGGCUAACUUAUGUGUCACUCUUUUGUUCAAAUGCUUUCAUCAAACCUUCAUUGGAGUCUAUCUGAAACAUGCUUUAGUCAAGUCAUUGGACUAAAUUAAUUUAACUCCGGAGACAUUUCCAUGUCUCUUUUAGUGGUUGGAUCAUGUUAUUCACCAACCAACGAUACCUCGGCUUGAACGACAAACGUCUUGAGACCAUUGUACGAACUUACUUCUACUCCUUACUAAGGACUGCAUCAUAGGGAUGUAGGUCGAACCUUCAUAAUCAUACUUCCAUUCCGUACUAGGACUGCAUCAUAGGGAUGUAGGUCAACCCUUCGUGAACAUACUUCCAUUCCGUACUAGGAUUGCAUCAUAGGGAUGUAGGUCAAACCUUCAAGAUCAUACUCUUUUUCAUUGAACGAUCGACGUACAUCCAGGGUCAAUAGUAGCCUUUACUAGGAAAUCUUAGUUCAUCGAAAGAGAUUCGUAAGAAGAUUAUUAUUAUGACUUUCCUCGCUUAUACAUUCCCGAGUUAUAUAUAACAAAGACCUGGUAGACAAUAGAAUGUGAGAUUUCUAACUUAGUUUCUUUUCCUCGUUGGGAUGUGGGACUAGAGUAGAAUCACACAUUUUAUUAUCCGCCCCGUCUUGGUUAUAAUAUAACGUGUAUAAGCUAAGUUUUCAUGUAUAAUAACUCCUCUCUUGGCCAGAAUCAAAAUGAUACAAGAACCGUCCGGACAGUUUAACGACAACUCAACAACAGAAUGAAAAGACCAAGCUUCUCACCUUUGGGAGCUCUGGUCUUAUUCUUCAAGAAGACAAAAUUCAGGGGUGCGAUCAUACCAGCACUAAUGCACCGGAUCCCUUCAGAACUCCGCAGUUAAGCAUGCAUGGGCGAGAGUAGUACUAGUAUUGAUAACAUUUGGGAAGUCCUCGUGGUGCAGACCUCAACAGGACUUCCAUUAGAAAUCAUCACUCUCUACCUCGCAUAGAUGAAUCAGUUCACCAACCGCAAGGAAUGAUGUACCUUUCAGAAAUAAACCUAAGAUUCGAAUAUCACCAGUUACGAGUGUGAGUGAAGGGUGUCCCGAGGACAAUCUUCCAAACUCGAUGCGGACGCUACGAGUCCGUAGUGAUGCCCCUCGGAUACGACGAAUACGCCCAUAGUAUUCAUGAACUUAAUGAAUAGGGUACACCAUUCUUACUUGGAUCAGUUCGUCACUGUCCUUGUAAAUGACUUACUUAUCUACUCUCGUAGUAAGAAGGAAAUCAUAAAGAGCAUCUACAACAAACCAUGGAAACAUUACGAUCAGAAGAGCCUUAUGCAAAAUUCUUUAAAUACGAGUUUUUGAAUUGAAGAGUCGAAUUCCUAGGACACACUAUUACUGAUGUGGAAAUUCUUGAGGACCCCUCCAAAAAUCGAAACAGUUGAGAAUUUGUCAGCAUCGAAGACGCCGACGGGAAUUCGCCAAAUUCUGAGUCUCGUUGACCUACUGUCGAGAGUUCAUUCCGAACUCCUCGCGGAUUACGAAACCUAUUAUGACUUUGACUCAGAAGGGAGUGGCCCUUGACUGGGAAGACAAGCAAGAGGAAGAAAACCUUGGAAUUUCAAGUGAUAGGCCAAAUCCUUUUGGAAGUCUCACUAUGGGAAGGCUUGAUACGCUUUGGAAAGCGUGGUAAGCUAAAUCCAAAAUAGUUAGGACCUCCGAAGUUCUUGCCAGAAUCGGUCCUGUAACUCACAAACCCAACCUACCCCGCGAACUCAGUAACGCACAUCUUACCCUUCACGUCUCGAACUUGAAAACGUACCUUUUCGUCAGGACUCUCCUAAUCCCACUCGACGGGAUCGAGAUUAACGAGAGCCUCGUCUUUGUGGAAGAACCGUAGUGACCACUGACCGAGAGGUCAAGUGGACGAAGCAACGCCGCGUCCCAUGAGCGAAGGUUCGCGGGAAUGCCAACCGGGGACCUGAAUUCACUUGGGAGCGCGAGAAUCAAUCGAUUAGGAAGUUUCCCCACCUCCUUGCUCGAUUUUUCAUGCCUACUUCCUUACCUAAAUUCUAAUUUCGGGACGAAAUUCCCUCUAACGGGGGGAUGAUGUGACAACCCGAAAUUUUCCAACCAGUACAGUCAAACACUUCAUUAAAAGUCAAACUCAUUUAUGCUAUCUUUUAGCACAAUUAGGAGUUUAUUUGAGCAUUCUGAGCCUUAUACAAUUAAGGGAUAAGUGUCGGGGUUAAUCUGCUGAAGCUAUAGCACAAAGUUCGAGCCUUAAACACAUUGAUCUGGAGUUCACGGCCACCACAUGGGAGUUUACGGCCGUAAACUCCAUGUGGGUCGUAAACUCCAUCCUAUAUAAUGAUAUGUUGACCAUUAUUUCAUUCUUUCAUUUCCAUUGGCUGAUUUCCUCCCAAAUCUUCUCAACUAUCAUCCCGAUCUUCGUCCCCGAUCUUCAAAUUUCGUAAGCUUAUUGCCUUAACUAGUUGAUAUAUUGCAUGAACUAGUAAUAUUACAUGAUUUCAUCCGUCAAAUCAUUCCAUUUUGUAGAUCUUCAACUUUCACCAAGAACACCAAGAACAUACACUAGUGUUCUUGGCCAAAACCAACCAUUCAAGCUCCUAGAUCAUAAGUACUCUUGAUCCAACUCAUUGUACACUAGGUUUAUCAUAUUUACAGCUUAGAAAACAUAAGAAAUCAUGGGAUUUAAGUAGUUUACGUCCAAGGCAUGUUCUUGGGCCGUAAACCCCUUUUAAGGGUGCAAAUGACACCCUAACACUUUAGUGAGCCUUGGAUAUUAACAUAGAACCUUACACCAUUGAACUAAGGACUUCAUUGCACGAAAUGGUACUCCUUACCAUGAGUUUACGGCCAUAAACUCAUGGGGGAGUGGUCCCAGGGCCAUGAACACCAUACAAGGUCAUUUUAGGACCUUAAACGCACCUAAACACUUGUUUAAAGCUUUGGAGCACUUAACCACUAAAGCCCUUAGAGUUUUAAGCCCCUUUUGGUGACCAACUGAGAGUUUAUGGCUAGGAGUAAACUCCCCUUGGCCGUAAACUCCAACAAACAUGGUCAUUGGACCAUAGACUCCCAUAUGAGGCCUUACACUCCUUUGUUGCAACCCGAUAGCCUCCUAGCACUUGACCAAAGUGUUUUCCUCGCAAUAGGAUGUUUAUACAUGUUUAAUUAGUGUUAUAAUCAAUAAUUGGUUAUAUACAUAUGCCUUCAUAUGUAAUUAGGAUCAUUGUAUGUGUCUAAGUCUUCACUUGACACCAAGAACUUGUUCGAUACUUCCUUCCGAUCCGCUCACUGCAGGUGAGGUCAUACCCCUUGAAUUAACCUUUUAAAUGUUUCUACAUGUUUUUAAAUGCUUUAUGGGGGGAAUACAAGUUGAAUCAUGUUAGUUAUUAUAUCAAUCACAUGUGAUUAAUAACUAACAUGCAAAUGGAUUUACUAUACGUUAACCGUUUUACCAAACAGAUUUCUUCAAAUGAUUUUCGUAAACAUUUUAUAUGAUGAAAACUCUUUAUUAAAUUGUUUACUAUACACUGUAUGUUUCAUUUCAAACUCUUUUACAAUUGUGUUUCAAACAAAGGUUUCUUUAUACUUAAACUGUUUUAUCAAACAAAUACUUUCAAACCGUUUUAUAAACUGACAUCAAGUCGAUAUUUUCUUAGAUAUUAAUCAUUUUCAAAGGUUUUACAAAACUUCUUUUAUGCUUUUAUAUUAUCAAAUGCAUGCCCAUAUAUGUAUAGUUAUAUAAGUAAUGUUUAAAGGACUUAGGAAGACUAACUCACUCUGUUUCCUUUUCCUCGUUGGGAUGUGGCUAUGGGGUAUCGGUUAUCCGUCUGAAUGUCGUCUAAAUAUUAGUUAUAUAUCAUGUAUACAUAUGUACACAUAAAAGUUUUCCUUUCAGUCAGUUCAGUACCUUUGAGUAGCAAAGGCAUACUUCAGGUUAUACACGUAUAUUGUUAGUAACUAUUAUAAGUACACUUAGGAGAUACUACUUACUAUUCCAUGUACAAGGAAUCACACAAGGGUCAGCUCAUUCAUGUGUCUAUACUAAUACAUUACAUGUUGUAUGAGUACGUUUACAUAGAUACGCUUACAUGAGUACGUUUACAUAGAUAUGCUUACAUGAGUACGUUUACAUAGAUACCGUGUUAAAAGCAUGCCUGUAUAUGUAUAGUUAUAUAAGUAAUGUUUAAAGGACUUAGGAAGGCUAACCCGCUCUAUUUCCUUUUCCUCGUUGGGAUGUGGUCUGGUGGGUGUUGGGUAUCCGUCCGAAGGUCGUUUAGAUAUUUAGUUAUAUAUCAUGUGUACAUAUAUGGACAUAAUAGUUCCUUUCAGUCAGUUGAUUACCUUUGGGUAGCAAAGGUAUACGUUCAUAUAUCCCUAGUUGGAUACUUUUACAUGGAUACCGUUACGUAGAUACUAUACGAUGAGUUACUAUUACAUAUUAUAUGUAUAGAUACUGUUAUAUAAUUCUCCUUCUUAUCUUUAUUUUGUGAUACAAUCACAUAAUCUACGAGAUAGAUUGGACUUAAUAUCCUAGUACCAAAGGAUACAUUGCGGGACUAACCAUUCCUGGAAUCUCUAUUAGCUACAGAGGUAAAUGCACAUCCACGGAUGUCUACGGUUGAUACCAGUAUAGGUAUACUUUAAGGGACUAACUAUUCCUACACCCAGCUGUUAGCUACUGAGGUAAAUGUACAUCUACGGAUGUCUUCAGUUAACACUGUUAGUUAUGCUAGUACAAAAGGAUAAUACUUAAGCUAUUUAUAUUAUUACCUUUAUCUUGUGACACAUUCACAUAACCGAUGAGGUGAAUUAUAUUUGAGUAUCCUAGUACCUAAGGAUACAAUUUCUUAUAUUAAUAAUAAUAGUAGUA
Molecule: long non-coding RNA, 20231 nt
Filed under: Lactuca sativa (garden lettuce)
Lineage: Eukaryota; Viridiplantae; Streptophyta; Magnoliopsida; Asterales; Asteraceae
Source: RNAcentral